Molecule: ribosomal RNA, 429 nt
Filed under: uncultured bacterium
Lineage: Bacteria
Description: bacterial SSU rRNA
Rfam family: Bacterial small subunit ribosomal RNA
Source: RNAcentral
UUAGGAAUAUUCGUCAAUGGGGGAAACCCUGAACGAGCAAUGCCGCGUGAGUGAUGAAGGUCUUAUAGAUCGUAAAACUCUGUUGUAAAGGAAGAACACUUAUUAUAGGGAAUGAUAAUAAGUUGACGGUACUUUACCAGAAAGCCCCGGCUAACUACGUGCCAGCAGCCGCGGUAAUACGUAGGGGGCGAGCGUUAUCCGGAUUUAUUGGGCGUAAAGCGUGUGUAGGCGGUUUAUUAAGUCUAAAAUAAAAGCCCGAAGCUUAACUUCGGUUCGUUUUAGAAACUGGUAGACUUGAGUGCAGUAGAGGCAAGUGGAAUUUCUAGUGUAGCGGUUAAAUGCGUAGAUAUUAGAAGGAACACCAGUGGCGAAGGCGGCUUGCUGGGCUGUUACUGACGCUGAGACACGAAAGCGUGGGGAGCAAAUAGG